Molecule: ribosomal RNA, 199 nt
Filed under: uncultured bacterium
Lineage: Bacteria
Description: partial 16S ribosomal RNA
Rfam family: Bacterial small subunit ribosomal RNA
Source: RNAcentral
ACGCUCGACACCUACGGGAGGCAGUAGUGGGGAAUAUUGCACAAUGGGGGAAACCCGUGAUGCAGCGACGCCGCGUGAAGGAAGAAGUAUCUCGGUAUGUAAACUUCUAUCAGCAGGGAAGAAAGUGACGGUACCUGACUAAGAAGCCCCGGCUAACUACGUGCUAGCAGCCGCGGUAAUCUGAGCGGGCUGGCAAGGC